This 254-nucleotide ribosomal RNA is filed under the name uncultured bacterium. RNAcentral describes it as "partial 16S ribosomal RNA". It matches the Rfam family "Bacterial small subunit ribosomal RNA", at positions 524 to 776 of the family's 1533-position model. The record is from RNAcentral.
UACGGGGGGAGCAAGCGUUGUCCGGAUUUACUGGGCGUAAAGGGCGGGUAGGCGGCCACUGCAAGUCGGUUGUGAAAUCUCCGGGCUUAACCCGGAAAGGUCAAUCGAUACUGCAGGGCUAGAGUGCAGAAGGGGCAACUGGAAUUCUCGGUGUAGCGGUGAAAUGCGUAGAUAUCGAGAGGAACACCUGCGGCGAAGGCGGGUUGCUGGGCUGACACUGACGCUGAACUGCGAAAGCUAGGGGAGCGAACGGG